This 28-nucleotide non-coding RNA is filed under the name Rattus norvegicus (Norway rat). The record is from RNAcentral. Lineage: Eukaryota; Metazoa; Chordata; Mammalia; Rodentia; Muridae.
UGUUCCCUCAAGAUCAUCGCUUCAAAAG